This 756-nucleotide ribosomal RNA is filed under the name uncultured archaeon. RNAcentral's name for it is "bacterial SSU rRNA". It matches the Rfam family "Archaeal small subunit ribosomal RNA", at positions 1 to 748 of the family's 1478-position model. The record is from RNAcentral.
UUCCGGUUGAUCCUGCCGGAAGCCACUGCUAUCGGGGUCCGACUAAGCCAUGCGAGUCAAGGGGGUGUCCCUCUGGGACACCACCGGCGGACGGCUCAGUAACACGUCGGUAACCUACCCUCGGGAGGGGGAUAACCCCGGGAAACUGGGGCUAAUCCCCCAUAGGCCUGAGGUACUGGAAGGUCCUCAGGCCGAAAGGGGCUUUUGCCCGCCCGAGGAUGGGCCGGCGGCCGAUUAGGUAGUUGGUGGGGUAACGGCCCACCAAGCCGAAGAUCGGUACGGGCUGUGAGAGCAGGAGCCCGGAGAUGGACACUGAGACACGGGUCCAGGCCCUACGGGGCGCAGCAGGCGCGAAACCUCCGCAAUGCGGGAAACCGCGACGGGGGGACCCCGAGUGCCGUGGCACCGCCACGGCUUUUCCGGAGUGUAAAAAGCUCCGGGAAUAAGGGCUGGGCAAGGCCGGUGGCAGCCGCCGCGGUAAUACCGGCGGCCCGAGUGGUGGCCGCUAUUAUUGGGCCUAAAGCGUCCGUAGCCGGGCCCGUAAGUCCCUGGCGAAAUCCCACGGCUCAACCGUGGGGCUUGCUGGGGAUACUGCGGGCCUUGGGACCGGGAGAGGCGGGGGGUACCCCUGGGGUAGGGGUGAAAUCCUAUAAUCCCAGGGGGACCGCCAGUGGCGAAGGCGCCCCGCUGGAACGGGUCCGACGGUGAGGGGCGAAGGCCAGGGGAGCAAACCGGAAUAGAUACCCGGGUAGUCCU